GUGGUGAGCCACUUCUUUCCUUUUUUUUUUCUAGGGCUUUUCACUCGUUCUGCCCUCACAGGAGGGAAUCAUGCCAGGCAUGAGUGACCGCCUCAAGGACAGGCUGAAGCAGAUGGCUCGGCAGACCCCCAACGGGUACCGUAAGCAGCGCCCCGGCAGCGGCCCACGGCACUUCGCCGACGACAACUACCCUUUUCACGCAAAGCGGCCGCGUGACGAGGAGGAGGAAGGGCCGCAGAGUAGCAAGUCCGGCAGCAGCCGUGUUCACAGUGGCAAGGAGGCGGGAAAGAGCGCCAGCGGCGACGGGGAGGGCGAGGUGCUCGGUGUCAUCCCGAAGAUCACCCUCGAAGACAUGGGCGGCUUGGCCAAGGAGCUGCCGGUAAUAAAAGAGCUCAUUGAGCUGCCCGUCCGCAUGCCGCACCUCUUUAACUGCCUCGGUGCAGAUCCGCCGUGCGGCGUCCUGCUGCAUGGCCCGCCGGGUGUCGGCAAGACAAAGCUCGUCCACGCCAUCGCCGGCUCGCUGCAGGUGCCCCUCUUUUUUGUCGCGGCGCCAGAGAUCGUCUCCGGCAUCAGCGGUGACAGCGAGGCAAAGCUGAGGAACUUGUUCAUGGACGCCAUAGCGGCGGCGCCGAGCAUUGUUUUCAUCGACGAGAUCGACACCAUCGCGGGCCGUCGCGAGGACGCCCAGCGCGCAAUGGAGAGUCGCAUCGUUGGACAGCUGCUUACGUGCAUGGAUCAGGUGUCGCAGGCCUGGCGACAGCACAACAAGGUGGUUUGCGUCAUGGGGGCGACAAACCGCCCAGAGGCGUUGGACACGGCGCUGCGCCGCGCCGGCCGGUUCGAUCGGGAAAUUGCCCUCGGCAUCCCCUCAAUCGACGAGCGACAGAGCAUCCUCAGUAUCAUCUGCGCGAAAAUCAACUUGUCCGACGGCGUCGAUUUCUUUGAGCUCGCCAACAUGACCCCCGGCUACGUCGGCGCAGACCUGCACCUUCUCGUCAAGGAGGCUUGCAUCCUCGCCAUCCGCCGCAAGUACAAGGAGCUGGACGAGCGUGGCGCUGUGGACGAUGUAAAGACGGAAGAGCUCUCCGGGUUCUGCGUCACAUUCGAUGAGCUGAAGGAGGCGACGACGCGGGUGCAGCCGUCGGCGAUGCGAGAGGGCUUCACGACGAUCCCGAACGUCUCGUGGGACGACGUCGGCGCCCUCGAGGACGUGCGCGAGGAGCUCAUGACCAGCAUCUUGCAGCCUAUCCGCGCCCCGAAGUUGCAUCACCGCUUCGGUCUCGACCACCCCGUCGGCGUGCUGCUCUACGGCCCACCGGGCUGCGGCAAGACACUGGUCGCAAAGGCAAUCGCGAACCAAUCGGGCGCCAACUUUAUCUCCAUCAAGGGUCCAGAGCUGCUCAACAAGUUCGUUGGCGAGAGUGAGCGCAGCGUGCGCAUGGUCUUCGCGCGUGGGCGGGCCAGCGCCCCAUGCGUCCUCUUUUUCGACGAGCUGGAUGCACUGGCACCGCGCCGCGGGUCGGACCGGGCAAACCCGAGCAGCGAGCGCGUAGUGAACCAGCUGCUGACCGAGCUGGACGGUGUGGAGGGGCGCAAGGAUGUUUACGUGAUCGGGGCCACGAACCGCCCCGAUAUGAUCGAUUCUGCCAUGCUGCGCCCAGGUCGCCUGGACAAACUGUUAUACGUGCCGCUGCCGUCGCCUGCGCAGCGUGAAUCGAUUCUGCGGACGCACGCCCGCAAGUACCCGGUGGAUGCCGAGGUGAGCCUGGAAAGGCUGGCGCAUGACGAGCGGCUCACCGGCUUCAGCGGCGCCGACUUGGCCGCCCUAAUGCGCGAGGCGUCGCUGACCGCACUGAAGGGCGUGUACAAGUCCCACACGAAAGACGAGCUGGAGGAGCUGGAGCGCGACAUCACCGGCAAGAGUGCCGAUACGGCGGAUCUGCCCACCAUUACGGCAGACAACUUCGAGGCGAGCUUGGCAAAGAUCAAGCCGUCGGUGUCUGCGGCGGAUCGGGCAAAUUAUGAGAACAUGAGCAUCGAGAUACGCAACAACGCCAAGAAUACCGACUAAGACGAGACAUGCCCCGCGCUCGCAGGGUGACCUGAGCUGCUGCUGUUGCUGCUGCUUGCGCGUCUUGCCUUGUGAUCACCGCCCCCCCCCCUCUUCCUCCUCUUGCGUUGCCAAGGAAAUGCGCCUUGUCGCUCUUCGUGAGAGCUGAUGUCUCUCUCACUCGUGUGUGUGUGUGUAUGUGUGUGCGUGUGCGUUUUUUCAGAUCCGAUCAUCCCACUCUCACCGUUGCAUACGCGCAUAU
RNAcentral lists this unclassified non-coding RNA (2312 nucleotides) under Leishmania donovani. RNAcentral describes it as "gene:LdHU3.27.1510(CDS-product:vesicular_transpor t_protein_(CDC48_homologue)_putative)". Lineage: Eukaryota; Euglenozoa; Kinetoplastea; Trypanosomatida; Trypanosomatidae. The record is from RNAcentral.